GUUCUCGCUUUGACCGCACAUACACUAAACUGGAAUGAUACAGAGAAGAUUAGCAUGGCCCCUGCGCAAGGAUGACACGAAAAUUCAUGAAGCAUUCCAUUGAAAA
Small nuclear RNA from Saimiri boliviensis boliviensis (Bolivian squirrel monkey), 106 nucleotides. Lineage: Eukaryota; Metazoa; Chordata; Mammalia; Primates; Cebidae. The record is from Ensembl.